This 505-nucleotide ribosomal RNA is filed under the name uncultured bacterium. RNAcentral describes it as "partial 16S ribosomal RNA". It matches the Rfam family "Bacterial small subunit ribosomal RNA", at positions 28 to 507 of the family's 1533-position model. The record is from RNAcentral.
GACGAACGCUGGCGGCGUGCCUAAUACAUGCAAGUAGAACGCACAGUUUAUACCGUAGCUUGCUACACCAUAGACUGUGAGUUGCGAACGGGUGAGUAACGCGUAGGUAACCUGCCUGGUAGCGGGGGAUAACUAUGGGAAACGAUAGCUAAUACCGCAUAAUAUUGAUUAUUGCAUGAUAAUUGAUUGAAAGAUGCUAUUGCAUCACUACCAGAUGGACCUGCGUUGUAUUAGCUAGUAGGUGAGGUAACGGCUCACCUAGGCGACGAUACAUAGCCGACCUGAGAGGGUGAUCGGCCACACUGGGACUGAGACACGGCCCAGACUCCUACGGGAGGCAGCAGUAGGGAAUCUUCGGCAAUGGACGAAAGUCUGACCGAGCAACGCCGCGUGAGUGAAGAAGGUUUUCGGAUCGUAAAGCUCUGUUGUAAGAGAAGAACGGGUGUGAGAGUGGAAAGUUCACACUGUGACGGUAUCUUACCAGAAAGGGACGGCUAACUACGUG